RNAcentral lists this ribosomal RNA (253 nucleotides) under uncultured bacterium. Its description in RNAcentral is "partial 16S ribosomal RNA". It matches the Rfam family "Bacterial small subunit ribosomal RNA", at positions 524 to 776 of the family's 1533-position model. The record is from RNAcentral.
GACAGAGGGUGCAAACGUUGUUCGGAAUUACUGGGCGUAAAGCGUGUGUAGGCGGCCAGGCAAGUCGGAUGUGAAAGCCCCAGGCUCAACCUGGGAAGUGCACCCGAAACUGCUUGGCUUGAGUAUCGGAGAGGUUGGUGGAAUUCUCGGUGUAGAGGUGAAAUUCGUAGAUAUCGAGAGGAACACCGGUGGCGAAGGCGGCCAACUGGACGAAUACUGACGCUGAGACACGAAAGCGUGGGGAGCGAACAGG